AAGUCAUUGGAUGUUGGCAAUACUAAACAUUUAAACAACUACUUGCUAUUAUCAUGAUUCCUUAAGGCUUAGCAAUGACAAUCAGCAGUCGAGGCAAAUUAUUGAUAUGGAAAUGGUGCCACCAUAAGGGUUAAACUCAACUGGGUCAAGUCUAAGUGUCCAUGUUAGCCGGGAAGUACUGAAUGUGGCUAUUAUGUGAGGAAGUUCAUGAAGGAGAUAGCUUAUGAAGGAGUUGAAAUACUUGACAAUGACAAUGUUGUGGAAGGAGUAGAGGAAUACUCAAAUGCGGAUGACAUUCGCGAAGAUUGGUUGACUUCUGCGGUUACUUCUAUUUUUAAGUGACAACCGGAUUUUAGGCGUUGACGAAUGUAUCGACAAACAAUUCCUUUUUUGUUUACGUUAAAAUAUUUGUAGUAUAUUAGACAAAAGAUUAUGUAAUGAGUUGUUUUGGUAUAUAUAUGGGUUU
RNAcentral lists this long non-coding RNA (466 nucleotides) under Helianthus annuus (common sunflower). The record is from RNAcentral. Lineage: Eukaryota; Viridiplantae; Streptophyta; Magnoliopsida; Asterales; Asteraceae.